GACGAACGCUGGCGGCGUGCUUAACACAUGCAAGUCGAACGGAAAGGCCCCUUUGGGGGUACUCGAGUGGCGAACGGGUGAGUAACACGUGAGUAACCUGCCCUUGACUUCGGGAUAACUUCAGGAAACUGGAGCUAAUACCGGAUAGGAAUCCUUGCUGCAUGGUGGGGGUUGGAAAGCUUCGGCGGUUUUGGAUGGACUCGCGGCUUAUCAGCUUGUUGGUGGGGUAGUGGCUUACCAAGGCUUUGACGGGUAGCCGGCCUGAGAGGGCGACCGGCCACAUUGGGACUGAGAUACGGCCCAGACUCCUACGGGAGGCAGCAGUGGGGAAUAUUGCACAAUGGGCGGAAGCCUGAUGGAGCAACGCCGCGUGCGGGAUGACGGCCUUCGGGUUGUAAACCGCUUUCAGCAGGGGCGAAGCUUGUGGUGACGGUACCUGCAGAAGAAGCACCGGCUAACUACGUG
RNAcentral lists this ribosomal RNA (465 nucleotides) under uncultured bacterium. RNAcentral describes it as "partial 16S ribosomal RNA". It matches the Rfam family "Bacterial small subunit ribosomal RNA", at positions 28 to 507 of the family's 1533-position model. The record is from RNAcentral.